This 494-nucleotide ribosomal RNA is filed under the name uncultured bacterium. RNAcentral's name for it is "partial 16S ribosomal RNA". It matches the Rfam family "Bacterial small subunit ribosomal RNA", at positions 899 to 1397 of the family's 1533-position model. The record is from RNAcentral.
ACUCAAAUGAAUUGACGGGGACCCGCACAAGCGGUGGAUGAUGUGGAUUAAUUCGAUGCAACGCGAAAAACCUUACCUACCCUUGACAUGGCAGGAACCCUGUAGAGAUAUGGGGGUGCCCGAAAGGGAACCUGCACACAGGUGCUGCAUGGCUGUCGUCAGCUCGUGUCGUGAGAUGUUGGGUUAAGUCCCGCAACGAGCGCAACCCUUGUCCCUAGUUGCUACGCAAGGGCACUCUAGGGAGACUGCCGGUGACAAACCGGAGGAAGGUGGGGAUGACGUCAAGUCCUCAUGGCCCUUAUGGGUAGGGCUUCACACGUCAUACAAUGGCCGGUACAGAGGGUUGCCAAGUCGCGAGGCGGAGCCAAUCCCAGAAAGCCGGUCGUAGUCCGGAUUGCAGUCUGCAACUCGACUGCAUGAAGUCGGAAUCGCUAGUAAUCGCGGAUCAGCAUGUCGCGGUGAAUACGUUCCCGGGUCUUGUACACACCGCCCGU